GUAACUAGCUUUGGCAGUACAUAUACUAAAACGAUAUAGAGAAGAUUAGCAUGGCCCCUACGCAACGAUAACACGCAAAACCGUGAAGAAUAAACCGUUCCACAUUUUU
Small nuclear RNA from Leptidea sinapis, 109 nucleotides. The record is from RefSeq and is a predicted model, not a curated record. Lineage: Eukaryota; Metazoa; Arthropoda; Insecta; Lepidoptera; Pieridae.